CCUACGGGAGGCAGCAGUGGGGGAUAUUGCACAAUGGGGGGAACCCUGAUGCAGCGACGCCGCGUGGGUGAAGACGCCCCUCGGCGCGUAAAGCCCUGUCAGCAGGGAAGAAAAUGACGGUACCUGAAAAAGAAGCCCCGGGUAACUACGUGCCACCACCCGCGGUAAGACGUAGGGGGCAAGCGUUAUCCGGAUUUACUGGGUGUAAAGGGGGCGCAGACGGCGAUGCAAGCCAGGAGUGAAAGCCCGGGGCCCAACCCCGGGACUGCUGUUGGAACUGCGUGGCUGGAGUGCAGGAGGGGCAGGCGGAAUUCCUGGUGUAGCGGUGAAAUGCGUAGAUAUCAGGAGGAACACCGGUGGCGAAGGCGGCCUGCUGGACUGCAACUGACGUUGAGGCCCGAAAGCGUGGGGAGCGAACAGGAUUAGAUACCCGAGUAGUC
This 440-nucleotide ribosomal RNA is filed under the name uncultured bacterium. RNAcentral describes it as "partial 16S ribosomal RNA". It matches the Rfam family "Bacterial small subunit ribosomal RNA", at positions 338 to 795 of the family's 1533-position model. The record is from RNAcentral.